AAGUUAAGAUUCACAGACUGCAGAAGCUCUAGAAAUGAGCUGUUCUCAAGGAGCAGUGAUUGUACUGCUCUUAAUGCUUGGGGGAAGCCAUGGAGACUCGGUGACCCAGACACAAGGCCAUGUGACCCUCUCUGAAGGGGCUUCCCUGACUGUGAACUGUUCCUAUGAAGCAACAUAUUACCCAACUCUCUUCUGGUACAUCCAGUAUCCUGGAGAAGGUCCCCAGGUCCUCUUUAAAGUCGCCAAGGCCAAUGACAAGGGAAACCACAAAGGAUUUGAAGCCAUAUAUGACAGAGAAAGCACCUCCUUCCACUUGAAGAAAGCUGCAGUCCUAGAGUCAGACUCGGCUGUGUACUACUCUGCUCUGAGAGACACAGUGGCAGAAACCACAGAGGGAGCUGAGCACAAACUGAGGGACAACAGGGGCUUGGCUGCUGAGCUUCUGCUUCUCAGCUGGCUCUCUUGA
Dipodomys spectabilis (banner-tailed kangaroo rat) is the source of this 466-nucleotide non-coding RNA. Lineage: Eukaryota; Metazoa; Chordata; Mammalia; Rodentia; Heteromyidae. The record is from the annotation of a RefSeq genome assembly.